CCCAUCAUUCCUUGGCUUUCUCCCUUGUGGAAGGCCCCUUUGCCCUUGAAGAUCAAGAUCUUUGUUUGGCAACUCCUUAGAGAUCGUCUCCCUUCGGGGACUGAGGUGCAUAACUGGCAAGGCCUGGGGGAUGGCAUGUGUCCCUUAUGCAGGGUGCCUGAAACUGGGACUCACAUCCUAUUCUCAUGUACAGCGGCUAGGGUCUUAUGGACGUUCGCCCAUGAGGCACUAGGGCCCGACUGGGAGGUCCUGGACCUCGCGGACUUCCUCCAAACCAGGGCUACCUAA
Molecule: ribosomal RNA, 288 nt
Filed under: Triticum aestivum (bread wheat)
Lineage: Eukaryota; Viridiplantae; Streptophyta; Magnoliopsida; Poales; Poaceae
Description: partial small subunit ribosomal RNA
Source: RNAcentral